RNAcentral lists this ribosomal RNA (383 nucleotides) under Scytodes sp. 54 YFL-2022a. RNAcentral describes it as "partial large subunit ribosomal RNA". Lineage: Eukaryota; Metazoa; Arthropoda; Arachnida; Araneae; Scytodidae. The record is from RNAcentral.
GUACUAAGGUAGCAUAAUCAUUAGUCUCUUAAUUAGGGAAUAGAAUGAAAGGAACAACUAAUUAUAACAUUAUAAUAUAUCUUUUUAAUUAAAUUAGCAUUAUAGUAAAAAGACUAUAAUAUAUAAGAAAGACAACAAGACCCUACUGAACUUUACACAUAUUGUUUUACUGGGGAAGUAAAUUAACUAAAUUUUAAUUAUAAUAAUAUUACUUAAUCGGACUAAAUCAAACACAGAAACAAGUUACCAUAGGGCUAACAGCACAAUAAUAUUUUAGAGAACAUAUCAAAAAUAAAGAUUAUGACCUCGAUGUUGAAUUAGAAAACUUAAUUAAGUAAAAUUAAUUAAAGUGGGUCUGUUCGACCCUAAAUUAUCUACGUGAU